Molecule: transfer RNA, 66 nt
Filed under: Panulirus longipes
Lineage: Eukaryota; Metazoa; Arthropoda; Malacostraca; Decapoda; Palinuridae
Description: tRNA-Cys
Source: RNAcentral
GGCUUGAUAGUUUAACUGAGAAUAUCAUAUUGCAAAUAUGAAGAUGUAUGGAAUAUACUCAAGCUU